RNAcentral lists this transfer RNA (160 nucleotides) under Sebaldella termitidis ATCC 33386. RNAcentral describes it as "tRNA-Und (NNN) (tRNA-Und-NNN-1-1)". It matches the Rfam family "tRNA". Rfam says of the family: Transfer RNA (tRNA) molecules are approximately 80 nucleotides in length. Their secondary structure includes four short double-helical elements and three loops (D, anti-codon, and T loops). Further hydrogen bonds mediate the characteristic L-shaped molecular structure. tRNAs have two regions of fundamental functional importance: the anti-codon, which is responsible for specific mRNA codon recognition, and the 3' end, to which the tRNAs corresponding amino acid is attached (by aminoacyl-tRNA synthetases). tRNAs cope with the degeneracy of the genetic code in two manners: having more than one tRNA (with a specific anti-codon) for a particular amino acid; and 'wobble' base-pairing, i.e. permitting non-standard base-pairing at the 3rd anti-codon position. The record is from RNAcentral. Lineage: Bacteria; Fusobacteriati; Fusobacteriota; Fusobacteriia; Fusobacteriales; Leptotrichiaceae.
GGGAUAAUAGUUUAAUGGGAAAACACCAGUAAACGAACAAAGUAUUAUUAUGCGAGGAUCAUAUUUUUUUAUGAUCCCGUGCUUGGAAUACUAUUCUAAAGUAUCUAAAGUAAUAAGAAAAGUUCUGGCAUUAUUAGUUCGAAUCUAAUUUAUUCCACCA